This is a long non-coding RNA of Anolis sagrei ordinatus, 794 nucleotides long. RefSeq lists it as uncharacterized. Lineage: Eukaryota; Metazoa; Chordata; Lepidosauria; Squamata; Anolidae. The record is from RefSeq and is a predicted model, not a curated record.
UUCCCUUUCCCCAAGCAUCAUUGUCUUCUCUAAGCUUUCCUGUCUUCUCAUGAUGUGGCCAAAGUACUUUGCCUCUACUAUCCUUCCCUCCAGUGAACAGUCAGGCUGUAUUUCCUGGAGUAUGGACUGGUUGGAUCUUCUGGCGGUCCAAGGCAGUCUCAAAACUUUCCCCCAGCACCACAGUUCAAAAGCAUCUCUCUUCCUUUGCUCAGCCUUCCCUAUGGUCCAGCCCUUACAUCCAUAGGUGACUAUGGGGAAUACCAUUGCUUUAACUAUGCAGAUCUUCAUUGCCAGUGUGAUGUCUCUACUCUUCACUAUUUUAUCCAGAUUGGUCAUUGCUCUCCUCCCAACAAGUCAGCUUCUUGGAGCGGUUUACCACUGGCUGUCAUCCUUUCUGACCGGGUCAAAUAACGAACCUCAGUGGCUUCUGCUUCAAGAGGGAUUUCACUGGGCACGCUUAGUGCUGGUGAAAGGAUCGGUGACCCUGCUUUCACACCCACAGAAAGAAAGCUUUCCACCCAGAAACGCUCUUUGAGAUGAGCUUUUUCGUGGAUUAUUUACACACUGCAUCCAGAAAUGGCUUUCAUGAUUUCUAUGUGAGUUUUAUUUAAAUUGCGGAUAAGCUCCAUAUGAACAACAAUAUAUACCAAAUGGCAAAACUUGUGGAAUGUUUGAUUUUGGUUUCUUUUAAUCACUUUAAUAAGGGACACUGGUUGUAUCUGUCAGUUUUCCCAGAAAUAUAUCACAUCACUGAAAGUUCACUGCCUUAAAAAUAUAAUAAAAUUAUAAAUACA